This is a long non-coding RNA of Saccostrea echinata, 138 nucleotides long. RefSeq lists it as uncharacterized. Lineage: Eukaryota; Metazoa; Mollusca; Bivalvia; Ostreida; Ostreidae. The transcript has 4 exons. The record is from RefSeq and is a predicted model, not a curated record.
CAAACCAGGGCCAUCAAAAUCUUUUGAUGAGUCAGCAAAAGGAUGCUUCUCGCCAAAUGGAAGUCCAUCUUUGCAUAAGAAGAGAGAAGAGGUACAGUCCAAACUUGACUUUUUAAAGGCCAAGUUUUUGGAUAGUAA